Molecule: ribosomal RNA, 274 nt
Filed under: uncultured bacterium
Lineage: Bacteria
Description: partial 16S ribosomal RNA
Rfam family: Bacterial small subunit ribosomal RNA
Source: RNAcentral
AUACGGAGGGUGCAAGCGUUAUUCGGAAUCACUGGGCGUAAAGGACGCGUAGGCGGGUUGGCAAGUCAGAUGUGAAAUCCUACAGCUUAACUGUAGAACUGCAUUUGAAACUGCUAACCUAGAGUAUGAGAGGGGGAGAUGGAAUUAGUGGUGUAGGGGUAAAAUCCGUAGAUAUCACUAGGAAUACCGAAAGCGAAGGCGAUCUCCUGGAACAUAACUGACGCUAAGGCGUGAAAGCGUAGGGAGCAAACAGGAUUAGAAACCCUAGUAGUCC